AGCAUUGGUGCAGAGCAUGUUAAGCUUGCAUGUCCUGGUCUGAUUCAGGCUUGCGAUGAGAACCAUAAAAGAAAGUUUGAUCGAAGCCUCAUGUGGGUGAAAAGUGAAUUUAGUUCUACCAAGACCAAGUUGGAGCCUUACAUUCGGAUGGAGCGAAGGAUCAUCAGAUACAUGGAGUCAAAAGCA
Long non-coding RNA from Neltuma alba, 186 nucleotides. RefSeq lists it as uncharacterized. Lineage: Eukaryota; Viridiplantae; Streptophyta; Magnoliopsida; Fabales; Fabaceae. The record is from RefSeq and is a predicted model, not a curated record. The transcript has 3 exons.